RNAcentral lists this ribosomal RNA (1410 nucleotides) under Triticum aestivum (bread wheat). RNAcentral describes it as "partial small subunit ribosomal RNA". Lineage: Eukaryota; Viridiplantae; Streptophyta; Magnoliopsida; Poales; Poaceae. The record is from RNAcentral.
AUGAACAUCCGCGUGCGAGUUCUCGAGGCCACCCAUGUCCGGCCGGAGAUGCCCGGGCACACCACAGUCCACCAGCCCGCCGCCGUCAGUCUCUCUCUCUUCGACAGUCUGUUCCUCGCGCUCCCACCGAUCCAGCGGCUCUUCUUCUAUGAUGGCGAGGACGUCCCGCCCUUCUCGGAGCUCGUCGGCUCGCUGCGGUCCUCCCUCGCUGCCACGCUCGCCACCUUCACUCCGCUCGCCGGGAGGAUCGCGGCCUGGCCCGACGGCGACCUCGUCAUCGACUGUUCCCCUGAUGCUCUCCACCCCGGCGUCAGGUUCGUUGUGGCCGAGUACUCCGGCGACGCUGCCGACAUGUGCAGGCUCGCCCGGGACGCCGAGCAGGACACCGAGGCGUUUGUGCAGCUCGUCCCGGAGCUCGAGGUGUGCAUGCUGCCGGCGCCCGUGCUCGCCGUCCAGGUCACGCGGCCGGCACAAGCACGGGGAGACGACGAGGGAGCGGGCGCCGUGGCAGUCGGAGUGUCGAUGCACCACGCGGUGGCGGACGGCCAGUCGCUGUGGCAGUUCAUGAGGGCGUGGGCCGGUGCGUCACGGGCGGGCUCGCAAAGCAGCGACGGGGCCGCCGCCGACAUUCGACAGGCGGAGAUCCUGCGGCACCCCAAAGCAGAGGCGGCUGCGCGCGAGUUCACCCGCCUCUCGGCGCCGGAUCUGCCCAGAGUUAACACGCUGCCGGAGCCUGACUGGACGCAGCAGCGCAGGCGGACUUACCUGCUCACCGCCUCCCAAAUCCAGUCGCUGAAACGCCGCAUCAUGCAACAAAGAUAGUCCGUUGCCGGAGACAACCAGCCGGAGCCCCUGACCACCGCGUCCCUGCUCUGGACGUCCAUCGCCCGCGCCAAAUACCCGAACCACGCGACCGUUGCCGCCGCGGACGACGACGACGCCUACUUCGUGUUCCCCGCGGAAUGCCGCGGGCGCCUGCGCCCGCCUCUGGACCCGGGCUACUUCGGUAACUGCGUCAAGGUCUGCUACGCGCGGGCCAGCACGGGCGACCUCUGCGGCCACGACGAAGGCGGCGCGCUCGCACGCGCGGCGGAGUCCGCCGCGCGGCAUGCGAUCCGUGAGAACGUGGAAGGGGAGGACCCGCUGGGCGAUGCCGACCGGUGGGCGGAGACCAUCCGGGGCGUCCCGCAGGACAGGCUGGCUAGGCAGGGGUCGUUGCACCGGUUCAUGGCGUACGAGGUGGACUUCCGGUGGGGGGAGCCGAGUCGGGUGGAGAUCGUGUCCACCUUCAGCGCCGAGAUGGCGAUGCUGGCCGGAGCGCGUGGCGGCGCGGUGCAAGUGUCGGUGGCGCUUGGCCGGGAGCACAUGGACGGCUUCGAGGCCAGCUUCGUGUCGCAGGCAUCGGCAUGA